RNAcentral lists this unclassified non-coding RNA (250 nucleotides) under plant metagenome. RNAcentral's name for it is "partial contains small subunit ribosomal RNA, internal transcribed spacer 1, and 5.8S ribosomal RNA". The record is from RNAcentral.
GUAGGUGAACCUUAACACGUAUCCAACGUUAAACAACCCCGUGAACCUUCAGCCUGCUCUCGUAGCCCACGCGGCAACAGCAAUCCCGGUAAAUCAUUGUCAACCAGUUUUGAUUCGGGACCUCUGUUACGAUGAGAAGUUACAGUUACGAUCGAGCGGUAGAGUCAGUGGCAUGGCUUCCCCAAGCAGAAUCCAGAGAAUGAAAGGAUCACUGGCUGCGCAAGGAUAACGCCUCACGGUUGCUAGAGGU